Molecule: ribosomal RNA, 891 nt
Filed under: uncultured archaeon
Lineage: Archaea
Description: bacterial SSU rRNA
Rfam family: Archaeal small subunit ribosomal RNA
Source: RNAcentral
CCGGUUGAUCCUGCCGGACCCCACUGCUAUCGGGAUAGGACUAAGACAUGCUAGUCGUGUGCCUCAGCCAAAACGAGGCACGGCGCACAGCUCAGUAACACGUGGCUAACCUGCCCUUAGGACGAGAAUAACCCCGGGAAACUGGGGCUAAUGCUCGAUAGGUGAAGAACUCUGGAAUGAGUCUUCACUUAAAAGAGUCUGCAUUAUGCUCGUAGAUUUCGCUUAAGGAUGGGGCCGCGACCGAUCAGGUUGUUGGUGAGGUAAUGGCUCACCAAGCCUUUUACCGGUGCGGGCCGUGAGAGCGGGAGCCCGGAGAUGGGCACUGAGACAAGGGCCCAGGCCCUACGGGGCGCAGCAGUCGCGAAGACUUUGCAAUACACGAAAGUGUGACAGGGCUAUCCCGAGUGCCAUCCGCUGAGGAAGGCUUUUACCCAGUCUAGAAAGCUGGGGGAAUAAGGAGAGGGCAAGUCUGGUGUCAGCCGCCGCGGUAAUACCAGCUCUCCGAGUGGUGUGGAUGUUUAUUGGGCCUAAAGCAUCCGUAGCUGGCUAAGUUAGUCCCCUGUUAAAUCCAACGAAUUAAUCGUUGGAUCGCGGGGGAUACUGCUUGGCUAGGGGACGAGAGAGGCAGACGGUAUUUCCGGGGUAGGGGUGAAAUCCUAUAAUCCCGGGAAGACCACCAGUGGCGAAAGGCUGUCUGCUAGAACGCGCCCGACGGUGAGGGAUGAAAGCUGGGGGAGCGAGCCGGAUUAGAUACCCGGGUAGUCCCAGCUGUAAACGAUGCAGGCUAGGUGUUUGGGACGGGCCACGUGCCGUUCUAGUACCGCAGGGAAGCUGUUAAGCCUGCCGCUGGGGAGUACGAUCGCAGAUUGAACUUAAAGGAUGGCGGGGGGG